UUCAUAUAUAUAGCCAAUGUGGCUGAGUGUACAUGGCAGGUGCCAAUCACAGUACAUGGCAGGUGCUAAUCACAAUACAUGGCAGGUGCCAAUCACAGUACAUGGCAGGUGCUAAUCACAAUACAUGGCAGGUGCUAAUCACACUGAUUGAGGACUUGCCUAAUAUGAACUUGCCUAAUAUACACUUGCUAUAUAUAUCUAUCACUUUACAGCCGCUCACAUUUAUCAUCUGAAGGCCCAUAUAAAUAGAAGAAAAAUA
Long non-coding RNA from Zea mays, 259 nucleotides. RefSeq lists it as uncharacterized. The transcript is spliced from 4 exons. NCBI's taxonomy places the organism in Eukaryota, Viridiplantae, Streptophyta, Magnoliopsida, Poales, Poaceae. The record is from RefSeq and is a predicted model, not a curated record.